GACGAACGCUGGCGGCGUGCCUAAUACAUGCAAGUAGAACGCUGAAGAGAGGAGCUUGCUCUUCUUGGAUGAGUUGCGAAUGGGUGAGUAACGCGUAGGUAACCUGCCUUGUAGCGGGGGAUAACUAUUGGAAACGAUAGCUAAUACCGCAUAACAAUGGAUGACACAUGUCAUUUAUUUGAAAGGGGCAAUUGCUCCACUACAAGAUGGACCUGCGUUGUAUUAGCUAGUAGGUGAGGUAAUGGCUCACCUAGGCGACGAUACAUAGCCGACCUGAGAGGGUGAUCGGCCACACUGGGACUGAGACACAGCCCAGACUCCUACGGGAGGCAGCAGUAGGGAAUCUUCGGCAAUGGGGGCAACCCUGACCGAGCAACGCCGCGUGAGUGAAGAAGGUUUUCGGAUCGUAAAGCUCUGUUGUAAGUCAAGAACGGGUGUGAGAGUGGAAAGUUCACACUGUGACGGUAGCUUACCAGAAAGGGACGGCUAACUACGUGCCAGCAGCCGCGGUAAUACGUAGGUCCCGAGCGUUGUCCGGAUUUAUUGGGGUAAAGCGAGCGCAGGCGGUUUGAUAAGUCUGAAGUUAAAGGCUGUGGCUCAACCAUAGUUCGCUUUGGAAACUGUCAAACUUGAGUGCAGAAGGGGAGAGUGGAAUUCCAUGUGUAGCGGUGAAAUGCGUAGAUAUAUGGAGGAACACCGGUGGCGAAAGCGGCUCUCUGGUCUGUAACUGACGCUGAGGCUCGAAAGCGUGGGGAGCGAACAGGAUUAGAUACCCUGGUAGUCCACGCCGUAAACGAUGAGUGCUAGGUGUUGGAUCCUUUCCGGGAUUCAGUGCCGCAGCUAACGCAUUAAGCACUCCGCCUGGGGAGUACGACCGCAAGGUUGAAACUCAAAGGAAUUGACGGGGGCCCGCACAAGCGGUGGAGCAUGUGGUUUAAUUCGAAGCAACGCGAAGAACCUUACCAGGUCUUGACAUCCCGAUGCUAUUUCUAGAGAUAGAAAGUUACUUCGGUACAUCGGUGACAGGUGGUGCAUGGUUGUCGUCAGCUCGUGUCGUGAGAUGUUGGGUUAAGUCCCGCAACGAGCGCAACCCCUAUUGUUAGUUGCCAUCAUUCAGUUGGGCACUCUAGCGAGACUGCCGGUAAUAAACCGGAGGAAGGUGGGGAUGACGUCAAAUCAUCAUGCCCCUUAUGACCUGGGCUACACACGUGCUACAAUGGUUGGUACAACGAGUUGCGAGUCGGUGACGGCGAGCUAAUCUCUUAAAGCCAAUCUCAGUUCGGAUUGUAGGCUGCAACUCGCCUACAUGAAGUCGGAAUCGCUAGUAAUCGCGGAUCAGCACGCCGCGGUGAAUACGUUCCCGGGCCU
This 1368-nucleotide ribosomal RNA is filed under the name uncultured bacterium. RNAcentral describes it as "bacterial SSU rRNA". It matches the Rfam family "Bacterial small subunit ribosomal RNA", at positions 28 to 1381 of the family's 1533-position model. The record is from RNAcentral.